GUUUCUAUGGUGUAGCUUGCACAUUAGAUUUUCAUUCUAAAGGAAUAAAUUAAUUUAUUAGAAAU
This 65-nucleotide transfer RNA is filed under the name Menathais tuberosa. RNAcentral's name for it is "tRNA-Glu". The record is from RNAcentral. Lineage: Eukaryota; Metazoa; Mollusca; Gastropoda; Neogastropoda; Muricidae.